CGGGACACGUGGUAUCCUGUCUGAAUAUGGGGGGACCAUCCUCCAAGGCUAAAUACUCCUGACUGACCGAUAGUGAACCAGUACCGUGAGGGAAAGGCGAAAAGAACCCCGGCGAGGGGAGUGAAAAAGAACCUGAAACCGUGUACGUACAAGCAGUGGGAGCACGCUUAGGCGUGUGACUGCGUACCUUUUGUAUAAUGGGUCAGCGACUUAUAUUCUGUAGCAAGGUUAACCGAAUAGGGGAGCCGAAGGGAAACCGAGUCUUAACUGGGCGUUAAGUUGCAGGGUAUAGACCCGAAACCCGGUGAUCUAGCCAUGGGCAGGUUGAAGGUUGGGUAACACUAACUGGAGGACCGAACCGACUAAUGUUGAAAAAUUAGCGGAUGACUUGUGGCUGGGGGUGAAAGGCCAAUCAAACCGGGAGAUAGCUGGUUCUCCCCGAAAGCUAUUUAGGUAGCGCCUCGUGAAUUCAUCUCCGGGGGUAGAGCACUGUUUCGGCAAGGGGGUCAUCCCGACUUACCAACCCGAUGCAAACUGCGAAUACCGGAGAAUGUUAUCACGGGAGACACACGGCGGGUGCUAACGUCCGUCGUGAAGAGGGAAACAACCCAGACCGCCAGCUAAGGUCCCAAAGUCAUGGUUAAGUGGGAAACGAUGUGGGAAGGCCCAGACAGCCAGGAUGUUGGCUUAGAAGCAGCCAUCAUUUAAAGAAAGCGUAAUAGCUCACUGGUCGAGUCGGCCUGCGCGGAAGAUGUAACGGGGCUAAACCAUGCACCGAAGCUGCGGCAGCGACGCUGAUGCGUUGUUGGGUAGGGGAGCGUUCUGUAAGCCUGCGAAGGUGUGCUGUGAGGCAUGCUGGAGGUAUCAGAAGUGCGAAUGCUGACAUAAGUAACGAUAAAGCGGGUGAAAAGCCCGCUCGCCGGAAGACCAAGGGUUCCUGUCCAACGUUAAUCGGGGCAGGGUGAGUCGACCCCUAAGGCGAGGCCGAAAGGCGUAGUCGAUGGGAAACAGGUUAAUAUUCCUGUACUUGGUGUUACUGCGAAGGGGGGACGGAGAAGGCUAUGUUGGCCGGGCGACGGUUGUCCCGGUUUAAGCGUGUAGGCUGGUUUUCCAGGCAAAUCCGGAAAAUCAAGGCUGAGGCGUGAUGACGAGGCACUACGGUGCUGAAGCAACAAAUGCCCUGCUUCCAGGAAAAGCCUCUAAGCAUCAGGUAACAUCAAAUCGUACCCCAAACCGACACAGGUGGUCAGGUAGAGAAUACCAAGGCGCUUGAGAGAACUCGGGUGAAGGAACUAGGCAAAAUGGUGCCGUAACUUCGGGAGAAGGCACGCUGAUAUGUAGGUGAAGUCCCUCGCGGAUGGAGCUGAAAUCAGUCGAAGAUACCAGCUGGCUGCAACUGUUUAUUAAAAACACAGCACUGUGCAAACACGAAAGUGGACGUAUACGGUGUGACGCCUGCCCGGUGCCGGAAGGUUAAUUGAUGGGGUUAGCGCAAGCGAAGCUCUUGAUCGAAGCCCCGGUAAACGGCGGCCGUAACUAUAACGGUCCUAAGGUAGCGAAAUUCCUUGUCGGGUAAGUUCCGACCUGCACGAAUGGCGUAAUGAUGGCCAGGCUGUCUCCACCCGAGACUCAGUGAAAUUGAACUCGCUGUGAAGAUGCAGUGUACCCGCGGCAAGACGGAAAGACCCCGUGAACCUUUACUAUAGCUUGACACUGAACAUUGAGCCUUGAUGUGUAGGAUAGGUGGGAGGCUUUGAAGUGUGGACGCCAGUCUGCAUGGAGCCGACCUUGAAAUACCACCCUUUAAUGUUUGAUGUUCUAACGUUGACCCGUAAUCCGGGUUGCGGACAGUGUCUGGUGGGUAGUUUGACUGGGGCGGUCUCCUCCUAAAGAGUAACGGAGGAGCACGAAGGUUGGCUAAUCCUGGUCGGACAUCAGGAGGUUAGUGCAAUGGCAUAAGCCAGCUUGACUGCGAGCGUGACGGCGCGAGCAGGUGCGAAAGCAGGUCAUAGUGAUCCGGUGGUUCUGAAUGGAAGGGCCAUCGCUCAACGGAUAAAAGGUACUCCGGGGAUAACAGGCUGAUACCGCCCAAGAGU
Molecule: ribosomal RNA, 2096 nt
Filed under: Escherichia coli
Lineage: Bacteria; Pseudomonadati; Pseudomonadota; Gammaproteobacteria; Enterobacterales; Enterobacteriaceae
Description: partial 23S ribosomal RNA
Rfam family: Bacterial large subunit ribosomal RNA
Source: RNAcentral